CUUGGUAGUAAGAGGGGAAUAUUGGCAAGAAGAAGACUGUCCUUUGGUGGGAGAAGACAUAUUUUAACAUGGCAUUAUGGGAAGGAGGCUGCCGUUCCAUGUGGCAGCCAUCUUAAGGUGCAGAGCAAUAGGGGAAGGAGGAGGCUGCUAUUUGAUGUAGCAGUCAUUUUAAGUGCAAGACGCCCUGUCAAGCAAAGCUCUUACCUUCCUGCAAGCCACCUACAGAGACAUUCAUGUCAAAGCCUGUGAAAACUUCCUAACCUGAGAAAAAUGACAAGAGUAUAAAUUUCAGCCAAAAUUCAUGGAACAAUGAGGACGAAGGUAAACAUCUAUUUAGCCUGUUACCAAUGCUCAGUAGUUUGGAAAAACUGAAGAAAUCAGGUGACAUCAUAAGGAAAACUUCAUAACAAAAAAGUUAUAGUGAAAAUAGAGCAAAGAAUAGUCCAAAAACUUCUACAAUCUAUGAAACUUCAGAGUUAAUCAAUUUGGCUCCAGGAAGUAAUAAAGAAUAAAAUUCUGCAAAC
This 524-nucleotide long non-coding RNA is filed under the name Fukomys damarensis (Damara mole-rat). Its description in RNAcentral is "lncRNA (ENSFDAG00000028362.1)". Lineage: Eukaryota; Metazoa; Chordata; Mammalia; Rodentia; Bathyergidae. The record is from RNAcentral.